UCGCAAUCCGCCAACCGGUCAAGCCGUGUCGCGGAAGGUUUUUCAACCCAUCGAGGUCCUGGAUACCAGGGCAAAAGGUGAGCG
Molecule: regulatory RNA element, 84 nt
Organism: Leptothrix cholodnii SP-6
Lineage: Bacteria; Pseudomonadati; Pseudomonadota; Betaproteobacteria; Burkholderiales; Sphaerotilaceae
Rfam family: SucA RNA motif
Source: Rfam